This 398-nucleotide long non-coding RNA is filed under the name Elaeis guineensis (African oil palm). Its description in RNAcentral is "long non-coding RNA (EGUI_LNC013353)". Lineage: Eukaryota; Viridiplantae; Streptophyta; Magnoliopsida; Arecales; Arecaceae. The record is from RNAcentral.
CUUUCUCCCUGCUUGAUAUCAUGAUCUGCAGUAAAUUGCCCUCUGUCAUAAGGAACUUCUUAUUGUCCCUACUAUUUUCUUUACAUAGUAAUAUAGAUUUAUUACCUGUCAUGUCUAAAAUUGCCUCUUAGUUGCACGUAUGAUAACUUUUUAUUACUUGUGUGGGAAGUGCUGGAAGUGAGUUCAGGAUAAUCUUCAGGAUGAGUUUUAGUUCUAGGUAGAUGUACCUGGAGCUGAUACGGACCACAUGGUCAGCCGUGGUCAAACAUGAUAACAUUGCUCAACCAUGGUUAACUGCAAGGCUCCCCAUGCCAGUGUGUACCACCAUGUACUGGAUUAAUUGUACUAUACUGGUGCCAAACCAAGACUCAGUACAAAUGGUUGCAAGACUCAAUACA